Molecule: non-coding RNA, 1187 nt
Organism: Ciona intestinalis (vase tunicate)
Lineage: Eukaryota; Metazoa; Chordata; Ascidiacea; Phlebobranchia; Cionidae
Source: RefSeq, a predicted model, not a curated record
ACAACAACAGAAAUAGCAAUAAAAAGUUAAUGAAUGUUACAAUAUUGAAACUGAAUAAACAUAUUGUAGCAGUAUAUUUCUCUAUAACAAAACACGGUUUUAAAAAUAGUUGAACCUGAGAAGCCAUGGCAACCUAUUUACCCUGUUUCUCCUUACGAGCACCCAGCAGCCGACAAUAUGUCCGACUGUCUGGUAGAAACACAGUGCCGCAAAAGAAAGCCUUUAGUGACUCUCUUUUUCCUACACUUUCUUGCGUCACUAGGUAUAUCAUUCUAGAUGUAUAUGUACGUUUCUUACGUAACAGCUACCGGUUUCUAGCGAGUUUACGCGUCUCAAUUAAAACACAAUUUUAAAAAUCUGUAAUAUUUCAUGCAAAAAAUAGUUCACAAUGCAAAUUGUGGUAAAAUUAUAAUACUGACUUAUUUAUGAAAAAGAAGGCUGCAGGAACAAGUCGUCGUUGGGAAGCAGGCCGCUUUGUAAUCGAGAAUACACCGAAUUUUUGAAUGUCAAAGUGAACAUGAUUCUACUGUUGUUUAAGUUUGUGGACACCACAACGAAAGCAGCGGGGUUUGGGCAAUACGAACAACUUAAGAGCUGCAGAUGGGUUAUCUUCAGCAGUUGUGGCCUACAGCAUGGAUUUCGUCUGACGCUCACCGGCAACAAAUUAUUCAAUUAUGGUAUUUGCCCUGGACGUUUCCAAAACACAAACUGUUUAGGAUUAAUUCAAUUAAAACGAUGGCCCAAACCGAGACCCGGUAACCUUUUAAUGAGAGCGAGCGAUAGAUAUUAUCGUUUGCGCAUUCUUGUACACCCUAUCAGGCGAGUGAGUAAUAGUUUAUGACGAAACGGAAUCCAUGCGUUGCCGUUGUUUUUCUUGCCCGAGUCCCACGCCAGUAGAAAUAUUACCUCGACAUAUUUUGCGUAAAAUUCGGCGCCCCUUGUCCCACGAGGCAGAUAACGAAUUUAAACGUUCAAGGAGUAAAUCAUUUCAUCCUAAAUGGAUUAUUAUGAAGUCAUUAUCAACAACACGUAUGUCUAGAUGAACUUUAACGCGUUAUACAGGGAACGUAAAUGAACAGAUAGUAGCGAAUCGAGGUAUUACCAGCAGAAGCACAUCACCACUAUGCAUGUUCGGGCAAGAUUCGUUGACAACCUUUACAAAGCAUACAUUCACUAUUUUUUAAAGU